CAUGUUGUCUUGCACAUAGAUGUAUGGGCUGAAAUGCAGUAUAUGCUGCAUAUAACUGUGUAAAUGAAUGCAUCGACUGCUGCAACAUCCUGUUGGCGUUGUAGCCUUUCAGAGCCACCCAAGGAACUCACAGUAUUCUGCUGCAGUGCCUUUGUCCCUCUUGUCCAGCACCUAGAGGAGAGCUUUGGCAGCAUCUGUGAGAGGCUCACUCAGCUGUGGGGCCUGACCCAGGUGGGUGUGUGGGGUGAGCUGGAGUUACUUGUUCUGGGGAAGAGAUGCUGACCUGGGCCAGCCCAUCCCACCUUACCUUACCUGAGGCUGUCCCACUCACUGCUGUGCUGUUAGGGCUUAAGAGUGGUCUCUAUUAAUAUCAGGUGAGGAAGAAUGAGAAGAAGGUGUCCUGCAAGCUUACGUCCUUUUCGGGUAAUGAAAGAAGCUACAGUUUCUUAAAGGAAGGACAGAGGAACAUCCUCUUCAGACUGACACAAAAAGGGUUAAAGUUCCAGGUACCUGUCUGGAAGAGAAGAAGAACUACGUUCCCCAUAUCACCCUGCCAAGAUCUCGCAAUGGUAAGCGUUAUGUGCUUACCAUGGUGGAAGCGACCACUGGGUGGCUUGAAACAUAUGCAGUACCCCAUGCUACCGCCCGAAACACCAUAUUAGGCCUCGAGGAACAAGUUCUCUGGUGACAUGGUACCCCAGAGAGAGUCGAAUCAGAUAAUGGGACUCAUUGCAAAAAUUCCCUUGUAAAUACUUGGGCCAAAGAUCAUGGCAUUGAGUGGAUUUAUCAUAUCCCCUAUCACGCACCAGCUUCUGGUAAAAUUGAAUGAUACAACGGGUUGUUAAAAACCAUGUUGAAAGCAAUGGGUGGCGGAACAUUUAAGCACUGGGAGAAGCAUUUGGCCGAAGCCACCUGGUUGGUGAAUACUCGAGGAUCUAUCAAUCGUGAUGGUCCUGCCAGCUCCCUACAUACUGUAAAGGGAGAUAAGGUCCCUGUAGUACAUGUAAAGAACAUGCUGGGAAAAGCAGUUUGGGUCCUUCCAGCUUCUGGGAAGGGCAAACCUCUUCACGGAACUGUUUUUGCCCAGGGACCUGGGUGCACUUGGUGGGUGAUGCAGAAAAAUGGGGAUGUUCAUUGUGUGCCACAAGGGAAUUUGAUGAUGGGAGAGCGGAAUCAGUAAUUCCAAGUAUAUGUACAUGUGUUCAGUGUUGGAUAAUUGAUUAUAAUUAUGUCUGUUUGUAUAUAUUAAGCAUGCUGUAAUGAUGUAGAAUAAGGGGUGGAAUGUCAUGGUUUUAUGAUUUUUGGUUAUCAGUAUUCCACAUCACAACAUCAUGCAGUGUACUGGGAGCUAAGGAGCAAAUGCUUUAGUUCCGGGUACCUGUCUGGAAGAGAAUAAGAACUACGUUCCCCAAGAGACUUUUCGAGUACUGUUAUCAUUCCUGCUCAAGGGAACAGAUAUAAGGGCGCAGGUCAUGUGACUUGUCCCUCUUCUCGUCUCGCCGUGUUCCCUGUCGGAUCGGCUCGCUACUGCUGCGCCCGACUGCACGCAAGGCUUCAGUAUUAGCGUAAGGCCUUUGGCUCUCGGACAGUCCCAAAUAAUGAACAGACUUGUUGUCUACAGUAAUGCAUAAGAAAAAAUAUACGUGAUGGAACCCAGUCAGAGCUGAAGUUCCUAGCAGUGUGCUUGGUCACGAUAACCAGCAAAGGAUAAAAAUAAUAUGUGUUUAAUACUAGGAAUUCUCUGUUUCGGGUAGCACUAGGGGAUCUGUGAAGGACUGAGACAUCUUUGUUUUAUGCAGAACAUCCCUGCAGGAUGAAAAUCUCCUGUCUUUUAAAGGCGUUCUCUUCUGAAGCAGUUCGUUGUCCCUGCUAGCAUCUGUCCUCCUCAGGCCCUGGUGUCAUCCUCUGAGAAGCACACACCUCACGUUCCCAGGCCAGGAAGCAAGCAGUCUGUUGCCUUCUCUUCUUUCUUGCCAUGAAACCAUCAUGCUUCUGGCCUUCUUUGCUCAUCCCC
This 2014-nucleotide long non-coding RNA is filed under the name Gallus gallus (chicken). Its description in RNAcentral is "lncRNA (ENSGALG00010026442.1)". The record is from RNAcentral. Lineage: Eukaryota; Metazoa; Chordata; Aves; Galliformes; Phasianidae.